Molecule: ribosomal RNA, 501 nt
Filed under: uncultured bacterium
Lineage: Bacteria
Description: bacterial SSU rRNA
Rfam family: Bacterial small subunit ribosomal RNA
Source: RNAcentral
AGUGAACGCUGGCGGCAGGCCUAACACAUGCAAGUCGAACGAGAAGGCGUAGCAAUACGCUUGUACAGUGGCGAACGGGUGAGUAAUACGUGGGCGACCUACCCUCGAGUGGGGAAUAACCCGCCGAAAGGCGGGCUAAUGCCGCGUACGCUUCCAUCUUUAUGGAGGUGGAAGGAAAGCCGUGCCGUGGGCACGGCGCUCAAGGAUGGGCUCACGUCCUAUCAGCUUGUUGGAGGGUAACGGCCUACCAAGGCUCCGACGGGUAGCUGGUCUGAGAGGACGAUCAGCCACACUGGCACUGCGACACGGGCCAGACUCCUACGGGAGGCAGCAGUGAGGAAUAUUGCGCAAUGGGCGAAAGCCUGACGCAGCGACGCCGCGUGGGGGAUGAAGGUCUUCGGAUUGUAAACCCCUUUCGGGAGGGAAGAUGGGACGGGCAACCGUUCGGACGGUACCUCCAGAAGCAGCCACGGCUAACUUCGUGCCAGCCGCCGCCGUAAC